GGGGAUAUAGCUCAGUGGCAGUGCACCUGCCUUGCAAGCACAAGGUCCUGAGUUCAAUCCCCAGUACCA
Heterocephalus glaber (naked mole-rat) is the source of this 69-nucleotide non-coding RNA. NCBI's taxonomy places the organism in Eukaryota, Metazoa, Chordata, Mammalia, Rodentia, Bathyergidae. The record is from Rfam.